Molecule: long non-coding RNA, 205 nt
Organism: Hylaeus anthracinus
Lineage: Eukaryota; Metazoa; Arthropoda; Insecta; Hymenoptera; Colletidae
Exons: 2
Source: RefSeq, a predicted model, not a curated record
CCACAGUUGAGUCUAGUACCCUAUAGACCCGUAGUUUUGAGCCUAGUACCCUCUAGUCCCUCGUAGCUGAGCCUAGUACCAUCUACCUUCUUGUAACUGAGCACAGUACACUCUAGCCCCAUGUAGCUUAGCUCAAUACCCUCUAACAAAUAUAAGUAUCGAAGAACCUAUAUGGCAUAAGAUAAACAAUGAAAAAAUAAAGAAA